GCAGCCGCGGUAAUUCCAGCUCCAAUAGCGUAUAUUAAAGUUGUUGCAGUUAAAAAGCUCGUAGUUGAAUUUCGGGGUUAGUAGGCUGGUCAUGCCACCGGUAUGUACUGGUCUUACUGAUUCCUCCUUCCUGAUGAACUGUAAUGCCAUUAAUUUGGUGUUGCAGGGAAUCUGGACUGUUACUUUGAAAAAAUUAGAGUGUUUAAAGCAGGCUAACGCUUGAAUACAUUAGCAUGGAAUAAUGAAAUAGGACGUUCGAUCCUAUUUUGUUGGUUUCUAGGAUUGACGUAAUGAUUAAUAGGGAUAGUUGGGGGCAUUAGUAUUCAAUUGUCAGAGGUGAAAUUCUUGGAUUUAUUGAAGACUAACUACUGCGAAAGCAUUUGCCAAGGAUGUUUUCAUUAAUCAAGAACGAAAGUUAGGGGAUCGAAGACGAUCAGAUACCGUCGUAGUCUUAACCAUAAACUAUGCCGACUAGGGAUCGGAUGAUGUUAAUUUUUUAAUGACUCAUUCGGCGCCUUACGGG
This 523-nucleotide ribosomal RNA is filed under the name uncultured Glomeromycotina. Its description in RNAcentral is "SSU rRNA". It matches the Rfam family "Eukaryotic small subunit ribosomal RNA", at positions 570 to 1094 of the family's 1831-position model. The record is from RNAcentral. Lineage: Eukaryota; Fungi; Glomeromycota.